RNAcentral lists this ribosomal RNA (379 nucleotides) under Kodamaea ohmeri. RNAcentral describes it as "eukaryotic LSU rRNA". The stretch from base 79 to 230 matches the Rfam family "5.8S ribosomal RNA". The record is from RNAcentral. Lineage: Eukaryota; Fungi; Ascomycota; Pichiomycetes; Serinales; Debaryomycetaceae.
GGGCCUUCUUAUUUCUACCACUGUUUUUUUACACAAAAAAAAUCUAUCUAAAAACAAUUCUUUACAAGAAAUUCUUAAAACUUUCAACAACGGAUCUCUUGGUUCUCGCAUCGAUGAAGAACGCAGCGAAAUGCGAUACGUAAUACGAAUCGCAGCUCUCGGAAUCAUCGAAUCUUUGAACGCACAUUGCACCAUUGGGUAUUCCCAAUGGUAUGCUUGUUUGAGCGAAUACUUCCCUAAUCCUCACGGAUUGUAUUGUGUUUGCACGAAAAUAAUGACGACAGUACUCUACAAAACGGUACCGUCAGUACACUCAUUUUUUUUCCUCAAAUCAAGUAGGACUACCCGCUGAACUUAAGCAUAUCAAAAGCCGGAGGAA